Non-coding RNA from Cherax quadricarinatus, 1192 nucleotides. The record is from RefSeq and is a predicted model, not a curated record. Lineage: Eukaryota; Metazoa; Arthropoda; Malacostraca; Decapoda; Parastacidae.
AAAUAACCAGUUUCCCUGAAUCCCUUCACUAAAUAUUACCCUGCUCACACCCCAACAGAUCGUCAGGUCCCAAAUAUCAUUUGUCUCCAUUCACUCCUAUAUAACACGCUCACACACGCUUGCUGGAAGUCCAAACCCCUCGCCCACAACAUCUCCUUUACCCCCUCCCUCCAACCUUUUCGAGGACGACCCCUACCCUGCCUUCCUUCCCCUAAAGAUUUAUAUGCUCUCCAUGUCAUUCUACUUUGAUCCAUUCUCUCUAAAUGACCAAACCACCUCAACAAACCCUUUUCAGCCCUGUGACUAAUACUUUUAUUAACUCCACACCUUCUCCUAAUUUCCACACUCUGAAUUUUCUGCAUAUUUACACUACACAUUGCUCUUAGACAGGACAUCUCCACUGCCUCCAACCGCCUCCUCAGUGCAGCAUUUACAAUCCAAGCUUCACACCCAUAUAAGAGUGUUGGUACUACUAUACUUUCAUACAUUCCCUUCUUUGCUUCCAUAGAUAACAUUUUUUGCCUCCACAUAUACCUCAACGCACCACUCGCCUUUUUUUCUUCAUCAAUUCUAUGAUUAACCUCAUCCUUCAUAAAUCCAUCCGCUGACAUGUCAACUCCCAAAUAUCUGAAAACAUUCACUUCUUCCAUACUCCUCCUCCCCAAUUUGAUAUCCAUUUUUUCUUUAUCUAAAUCAUUUGAUAGUCUUAUCACCUUACUCUAUUCUAUGUUCACUUUCAACUUUCUACCUUUACACAACAAAUUGUGCCUUUCUCUAACCUGUAUACUACAAGAUAUACUGUAGUACAUAAAAGAAUAGACAUUGAAGAAACUGAAGUGUAGAUUUUGAAAGAGAUGCCCAGGAAAAGUGAUACACAAGUACAGCAGUGCAAAUGAUUCCACUAAGAAGGUGGGUGCUACCUCACCCCCCACAAAAAUGAAUAACGGUAGAAAUAAUAAUGACGACGACGACGACGACGACGACGAUGAUGGUGAUGGUGAUGAUGGUGAUGAUGAUGAUGACGACAUAACUGAUGAAGCAAUGAUAACAACAACCAAGGCAGUGGCAACAACAAUGACAACAAUGAUGAUGAUGAUGAUGAUAAAGAUGGCAAUGGUAAUGGUGAUGAUAAUACGUAAUGGUAGUGAUGACAAUGAUAAUGCAAUUUAGAAACCAGUGAUCUUUCUUUUGU